GAUGAAGAACGCAGCGAAAUGCGAUAAGUAAUGUGAAUUGCAGAAUUCAGUGAAUCAUCGAAUCUUUGAACGCACCUUGCGCCCUUUGGACAUUCCGAAGGGCAUGCCUGUUUGAGUAUCAUGAACACCUCAACUCUCACGGCUUGUCCGUGAUGAGCUUGGACUUUGGGGGUCUUGCCGGCCUGUGGUCGGCUCCUCUCAAAUGGAUCAGCUUGCCAGUGUUUGGUGGCAUCACAGGUGUGAUAACUAUCUGCGCUUGUGGUUUUCCAUCAGAUAACCUUCAGUGAUAUGGAGGUUCGCUGGAGCUCACAAAUGUCUCUCCUUAGUGAGGACAGCUCUUUGAACGUUUGAUCUCAAAUCAGGUAGGACUACCCGCUGAACCUAAGCAUAUCAAUAAGCGGAGGA
RNAcentral lists this unclassified non-coding RNA (405 nucleotides) under soil metagenome. RNAcentral's name for it is "partial contains 5.8S ribosomal RNA, internal transcribed spacer 2, and large subunit ribosomal RNA". The stretch from base 1 to 121 matches the Rfam family "5.8S ribosomal RNA", at positions 35 to 154 of the family's 154-position model. The record is from RNAcentral.